This 496-nucleotide ribosomal RNA is filed under the name uncultured bacterium. RNAcentral's name for it is "bacterial SSU rRNA". It matches the Rfam family "Bacterial small subunit ribosomal RNA", at positions 24 to 518 of the family's 1533-position model. The record is from RNAcentral.
UCAGGAUGAACGCUGGCGGCGUAGCCUAACACAUGCAAGUCGAACGGGACUUUACGGAUCAAGGCUUCGGCCAAGUGAAGUUAAGUUAGUGGCGGACGGGUGAGUAACGCGUGAGUAACCUGCCUUCAGAGGGGGAUAACGUUUGGAAACGAACGCUAAUACCGCAUAACGUAUUGAUGUCGCAUGGCAUUGAUACCAAAGAUUUUAUCGCUGAGAGAUGGACUCGCGUCUGAUUAGAUAGUUGGUGAGGUAACGGCCCACCAAGUCGACGAUCAGUAGCCGGACUGAGAGGUUGAACGGCCACAUUGGGACUGAGACACGGCCCAGACUCCUACGGGAGGCAGCAGUGGGGAAUAUUGCACAAUGGGCGCAAGCCUGAUGCCAGCAACGCCGCGUGAGGGAUGACGGUUUUCGGAUUGUAAACCUCUGUCUUUGGUGACGAAGAAGUGACGGUAGCCAAGGAGGAAGCCACGGCUAACUACGUGCCAGCAGCUGC